RNAcentral lists this transfer RNA (85 nucleotides) under Auricularia subglabra TFB-10046 SS5. It matches the Rfam family "tRNA". From Rfam's summary of the family: Transfer RNA (tRNA) molecules are approximately 80 nucleotides in length. Their secondary structure includes four short double-helical elements and three loops (D, anti-codon, and T loops). The record is from Rfam by way of RNAcentral. Lineage: Eukaryota; Fungi; Basidiomycota; Agaricomycetes; Auriculariales; Auriculariaceae.
GACCCGUUAGUUCAGUGGUAGAAUGUGAGAUUCCAGCGCUAUGCGACGAUCCUCAAGGUCGUAGGUUCAACUCCUGCACGGGUCA